GAAACACUAGUAUAAAGACCCACUACAUUGCUUUGUCAGGGCAAAAUUGCGGGUGGAACUCCCGCGUGUUUUA
This 73-nucleotide transfer RNA is filed under the name Apogonichthyoides taeniatus (twobelt cardinal). Its description in RNAcentral is "tRNA-Asp". Lineage: Eukaryota; Metazoa; Chordata; Actinopteri; Kurtiformes; Apogonidae. The record is from RNAcentral.